CAGCCGCCACGGGAAAACGGAUGGUGCAAGCGUUAAUCGGAAUUACUGGGCGUAAAGCGCACGCAGGCGGUCUGUCAAGUCAGAUGUGAAAUCCCCGGGCUUAACCUGGGAACUGCAUUUGAAACUGGCAGGCUAGAGUCUUGUAGAGGGGGGUAGAAUUCCAGGUGUAGCGGUGAAAUGCGUAGAGAUCUGGAGGAAUACCGGUGGCGAAGGCAGCCCCCUGGGCCAACACUGACGCUCAUGCACGAAAGCGUGGGGAGCAAACAGGAUUAGAUACCCCGGUAGUCCCUGUCUCUUAUAC
RNAcentral lists this ribosomal RNA (301 nucleotides) under uncultured bacterium. Its description in RNAcentral is "partial 16S ribosomal RNA". It matches the Rfam family "Bacterial small subunit ribosomal RNA", at positions 509 to 807 of the family's 1533-position model. The record is from RNAcentral.